Molecule: transfer RNA, 85 nt
Filed under: Erythrobacter sp.
Lineage: Bacteria; Pseudomonadati; Pseudomonadota; Alphaproteobacteria; Sphingomonadales; Erythrobacteraceae
Also listed under: 11 other names
Description: tRNA-Leu
Source: RNAcentral
GCCCCUGUGGUGGAAUUGGUAGACGCGAGCGACUCAAAAUCGCUUUCCUUCGGGAGUGCCCGUUCGAGUCGGGCCAGGGGCACCA